CAGGGGACGGGCGGCACUGACAAGGCGGCGGCGGCGGGGCCAGGCCCGGGCCCGGCACCUGCGGUCCCCGCGCCCUGCCCACUUCCUGCUUUGGCGAGCCACCGCCCUUCUCCCAGCACCGGCACGGCACUGGCACAGCCCCAUCUCCCUGUGGCAGCAGCGGGACUGCGCCCGGAACCCCGGAGGGACCCCUAUCACGAACCAGCGGAAGCAGGAGUGGCAGUGCCGGGCUCAACCCCAGAGCCCAUCCUGGAGCAGCUCCUCCCGCCUGCGGCGAUCCCAGUCCUCAUCCCAGCUCAAAUCCCGCAUCCUGCCCGCCGAAGGGGAAGCGGCUCCGCCCGGGACCCCCGGGGGACACCGUCGGGACCCGGACGCGGCUCUCCGGGGCCGGAUCCUGGGGUCGGCCCCAUCUCAGCACCUCGGGCUCCGCACAGUGCUCCGAGCAACGAUCCGGCCGCACCCUGGGCUGAGAUACACUGCGCUAAGAGGAGCAGCCGCGGACCCGCCGGAAUUUCUGGGUGGGGCGGGGCCGGCUCAGUGGCAUUUAUGGCUGAGCAGUUCAGAACAAGGCUUGAGCAGACAGGACUGGAGAAUCAACACCAAGCAACAACCCCUGUGCUUGGCAGGGGCCUGGAGCAUCCCAGUCUAGACUCUGGGCUUCAAGUACUUGCUUCUACUGCAGUUAAUCUGGCAUGGGAACUGGUAAAUCACAAACCAGACAAGGAGACACUUCCUGAAACAAAUAAAAUCCAGCUGCAGCUAAGCCCAUGGCCAUGUUUAAAAACCCUUCAGCAUAAAAACCCUUGGAAAAGCAAAGGUGAUGCCUGGUGACCUGGAGCUCCAGGGGACUGAGGGGAAUGUGGGCAACAAGCCAGCAAACAGCUUUUACUGCUUCUCACUGCAGCAAUGGCAGCUCCAUUGGAAUUUCACACUCAGCAUCUCUUCCAUGCUCAACAAGCCAACAAAAGGCACUCCAAAAUUCAGACUUUUCUAGUGCUGAGCUUUACAUGAUCCUUUGGGCAGAAGGAAUCUUCGAGACUGUCCCACACCUUAACAUCCCACUUGCUCUUUUUGGCACAGUGGACCAGUUCACUAUCCCUUCCUUCUGAAAGGAUCUUUCUGAAGCCAGAACAUACCCAGCUUUGCUUUCCCCUUAAAUACUCUUUUCCCUGCACAAGUAAGACUGUUCCAGUGCUUGGCAAGUAACAGCUGAAGAAUCCAAGCCAAGAGCCUGCCUGGGAUGAAGGAAUGUGCAUGCCCACAGGAAGAGCAUCCCAAACCUCUCACUGCUGACCGUUCGCUUCUAACCAUGGCUCCAAUGGCACCAGAACUGUCCCUGCAGGCAGAAACGCAGCCUUGGGAACACCAUGAGCUGUCUCCAAUGUACCACUGGGCUCGGAGAAGCAGUGAACAAACCAGCAGCUCACAGGGAAAUCAGGGGCACCUCCUGAGCCAACAGCAGCUGGGAGAAAGGCAUGGACGCAGCAUCUCACCAAAACUAUGGCAAAAGAAAUGCCAACAACUCAAGAAUCACUGCAGUGUUGAUUUACUGAAACAAAAGUGUUAUAAAUGCAAAGGCAAAAUCGAGGUUAAAUAAAAAGAGUAAUUUAUUAUAACA
Long non-coding RNA from Parus major (Great Tit), 1618 nucleotides. NCBI's taxonomy places the organism in Eukaryota, Metazoa, Chordata, Aves, Passeriformes, Paridae. The record is from Ensembl.